RNAcentral lists this long non-coding RNA (577 nucleotides) under Rattus norvegicus (Norway rat). Its description in RNAcentral is "long non-coding RNA NONRATT029693". Lineage: Eukaryota; Metazoa; Chordata; Mammalia; Rodentia; Muridae. The record is from RNAcentral.
CGCGCCCUAGCAGAAUACUCCUGAAAUUGGCAGCGCCAGCCCAAAUCAGUGCGACGCCCGUUGGUGGAGGUGGCGGCGGGGGCCUCCGGCCGCUCUGCCCGAGGCAUGGCCGUGCUGGUCCCCCAAAGCCAGCGGUCCGAGCCAAGGUCACAAAGCUCCACGACUCGUCCACCUCCCACAGUUGCACUCGGCUAGUCGGUCCCCCACUCCCGGUUCCCCGAGCUCGGCCCGCCGCGCGGCCUCAGUUUCCCCGCGGGCCCGGCCAGGGCGGGGGCGUGGCGGACCCGGAGGCGGGCCGCGUACCUGUGGAAGGAGACAGCGCGUUUCUCGCCCUUGCCCUGCCUGUUGGAACAGUUCACGGCCGCGCAGCAGAUCACCAUUGCGGGCCUCGGUCGUGAGCGUCGCCAGGCUCCGAUCCUUGCCGCCCGCCCGCUGGCCCGACCCGCCCCGAGGGAGUGCGGCGACACAGCUCGGGACGUGGGCCGCGGUCGAGCCGUACGGCAAGAUGGCUGCGCGCUGCCGCCCGCACCACGCUGCGCUCGGGCUGCCCCGCCACGGCGCCAGCGUCGCGGCCGCA